RNAcentral lists this long non-coding RNA (1681 nucleotides) under Marmota monax (woodchuck). The record is from RNAcentral. Lineage: Eukaryota; Metazoa; Chordata; Mammalia; Rodentia; Sciuridae.
CUGACUUUCUAAGUCUGCAGGAAGGAAAUAUCUCCACACAUACCUCAUCCUCAAGCCUUCCUCCUGUCUUUUGAGCAGAGCCUUUUGCUUCAGUCUCCAUAGAGACUGAAAAAGUUGUGGGAAAAGAUCAGGAACUAUUUUCUGUUAUCUGAGCUCUGCCAUAAUUAGCUCUGUGGCCUUAAAGAUCCUAAACGUCUCUGGAACUCAAAUUAGAGCUUACUUAUCCAUUAGGUGCAGUUCCUAGGACCCAUGAUAUUUUUACAAAGAACAGCAAUGUGGAGAAAAAGAGAAAGGCAGAAAAAAAAAGAACUUCUGGAUUGAAAAAAAGUGUUGUAAAAAUAUAAUAGCUUAUUGGUUUUUAAACCAAGAUAGUCACUGACAUUGUUGAGCUUUAUCUUAGCCCUGUGAUCCUGGAAAACAGAAAGGGUUAAAGAAACCCUCCCACCCCUUUCAUUUCUAGAAACAACUUACUACAAGGAACCAUCCUUUACCUUAUGGCUUAAGUAAAACUCACCAAUGCCACUCUUGUUUACCUAUAACCAGUCUGGACAUAGACCCUCCAAUUCCCCAUAAAUGAUUAACUGGAUUGUUGGUACCUAGUGACCAACCCAGAAAAAAUAACUAUCUGUACUUGACCAAAUUCUAGUUAGACUUCCCAACCUUCUCCUGGCCCUGAAGUUUGACCCACCAUCAGCCCAACCAUUGCACAACCCUCUAACAAUCCCUUAUGUAAAUACAUUGACCCCCAAUAAAACCUUCUCUUUCAACUGUAAGAUCAUCCAAACUAGUUUGGCCCACUUUUCCACAUCUUGUUCUCUACAGUGUUGUUUAGUCCUUCCUAGAAAAUACUUUUUUCCUGCCUGCCUUUUGAAAGGUUUGCCCAUCCCAGGGUCAAAGCUUUCCCCCUACUGCAAUAGUCCCCUUCUCUGUUACAAGUCUCUCCCUUUCUUUUUGCAGGAAUUCUUUAAAAUAAAGUUUCUUCUUUCAUAAGUAGGAUUUUCUAAAAUUUAAUAAUUAAUAUUGUUUAUGAAGAAACAGGUUCCCCAAAAUGAAAAAGUAUAAAGUCCAAUAAAAUCAUACUAUGGACAAAUCCUAGACUCCUGCAUGUAAAAUGAACACAUUGUGCUGGAUACAAGAUCCCUUAUGGCUUAACAAUGAAUGAAUUAAAAAAUAGAAUUGCCAGCUUCUGGCUAGUUAGAGCAACGGAGAGCAACUUACCCACCUCACUUAUUCCAUAUAUUACUCAUACUUUAUGGUUUGUAUUAAUGGAUCUGGAGCAGUUCCUAUGCCUGGUUUAUGGGGUGCUUGAGGACUGUUUUUCUGAAAGUCUCACCCUGUGGAUACAGAUGUUUGAUCAUGCACUAACCAACAUGCAUUACUUUGCUUUCGACACAGUAGAUAUUGCUUAAGGUAAUUGUGUGGACUUCCCUCCACCCUGCCCCACUUUUUUCCUGUUUUAUGAUUUAUGUAUUAUAAGUAAGAUACUAUAACUAAAAAAUCUCUGUAAUUUCUAGAGUACCAACCAUAUGACAUGUAUGCAAUGUUAUUUCUCAGCCAUACAACUAAAAUUUCAUAAAUUUCCUAAAUUCUUUAAGAGGAGCUAACUUGGCUCAAGUUUUUAGUAUAAACUAAUUUUUCAAAGAUUUAUACAUAGAAAUAAAUAUACAGAAGAGGGGGGACU